GACGAACGCUGGCGGCGUGCCUAAUACAUGCAAGUCGAACGCAUUUUCUUUCACCGUAGCUUGCUACACCGAAAGAAAAUGAGUGGCGAACGGGUGAGUAACACGUGGGUAACCUGCCCAUCAGCGGGGGAUAACACUUGGAAACAGGUGCUAAUACCGCAUAAUUCCAUUUACCGCAUGGUAGAUGGAUGAAAGGCGCUUUUGCGUCACUGAUGGAUGGACCCGCGGUGCAUUAGCUAGUUGGUGGGGUAACGGCCUACCAAGGCUGCGAUGCAUAGCCGACCUGAGAGGGUGAUCGGCCACACUGGGACUGAGACACGGCCCAGACUCCUACGGGAGGCAGCAGUAGGGAAUCUUCGGCAAUGGACGCAAGUCUGACCGAGCAACGCCGCGUGAGUGAAGAAGGUUUUCGGAUCGUAAAACUCUGUUGUUAGAGAAGAACAAGGAUGAGAGUGGAAAGUUCAUCCCUUGACGGUAUCUAACCAGAAAGCCACGGCUAACUACGUG
RNAcentral lists this ribosomal RNA (507 nucleotides) under uncultured bacterium. RNAcentral describes it as "partial 16S ribosomal RNA". It matches the Rfam family "Bacterial small subunit ribosomal RNA", at positions 28 to 507 of the family's 1533-position model. The record is from RNAcentral. RNAcentral also lists the same sequence under 1 other name.